UUUCUAAGCUUCCUGUAUUUAAUUUAAAAAAUAUUUAAAUAGAUACAAACAAAGUUGAAGUCUUUCUGGUCUAUCUCAACAACUGAGAGUAUUUUCUUUCUGCUCUUUUUCAGUUAUCUACCUAUCUUUCUCCUAAUUUAAUGUUAACUUACCACUGUUACCUAUAAGGGAAGUUUUAAUCACCUAUGGACUUAUUUCCAAUCAUUAAACUGCAGAAAUAAUAGUUUCACUGGUAUUGGUGUGUUUACAUGCAGCAACUCACUUAACAUCCACAACAGCAAAGAGAGGCCAAAAACAACUUGUUCAGUAUUACACAGCUAGAAAGGAACAGUCAGGAUUUAGAGGACAUCUCCCUCUGGCUGUCAUACAACAUUUUGAGAAUCACUGAUCUGAUCAUAUCUACAGAAGGGGAGAAUUUCCAAAAAGAUAAAGCCAUCUAUAUGAAAUAUAACCUGCUUAAAAUUCAGUCCUCAUAUUCACUGAAAUCUGAUUAAUAGCACUAAAAGUUGAAGUGCUUAAUUUACUGAACAGAUUAAUUAAUACACAGCACUCACAACUUGAAUGUAUUUACUGUGCCUAAGAUAAAUUAUCUAGUAGCCCAGGAGAUAAAAUGGUAAAUGUGAACUACAGAUAUCUCCUUACACCCACACCCAGGACCAGUUUCUAAACAUAAAUAUGUCUUUUUUAAUGUUUGGGGUUUUCAAUAUGCAAUUAAUUUUGAAAAUUUCUUCUCCACUUGAAUCAAAUGUAUGAAAGAUGAUAUGUCAUGAGCUUUGUAAUGUUUUGAACAACCAAUAAAAAAAAGAAAAUUUAUUCUCCAUAGUGACAGCAAAUUUCAAAUAAACCAAAGCUUUCUCUUCAAUAGUCAAUGAAGAAAGUAAUCUUCUGGCAAUACUGGUAGAAUAAAUUCAGUCAAAUAGAACUGGCUAUAAAAAUAAUC
Molecule: long non-coding RNA, 940 nt
Organism: Ictidomys tridecemlineatus (thirteen-lined ground squirrel)
Lineage: Eukaryota; Metazoa; Chordata; Mammalia; Rodentia; Sciuridae
Source: RefSeq, a predicted model, not a curated record